Macadamia integrifolia is the source of this 879-nucleotide long non-coding RNA. RefSeq lists it as uncharacterized. The record is from RefSeq and is a predicted model, not a curated record. The transcript has 2 exons. Lineage: Eukaryota; Viridiplantae; Streptophyta; Magnoliopsida; Proteales; Proteaceae.
GUUACUUUCUUCUUUAUUUGGAUCAAUAAGGCUCCAUUUUUUUCCAGGUAAAAACCUCGCAAAGGAAAAGUUUCAAGUAAAAAAAAAUCCAUCAACCGAUUUUACCCAGCAAUUUUGUUUCAUUGUCACCCCCCCCCCCACAAUUUAUUUUUUUUGGUGGGGUGGGGGGAAUACGUUAAAUUUUAUUAAGCAAAAGGACUUGAGGAUAAAACUUCCCCAAGUAACAUGGGCAGAGCUAGGGGGCACCCCGGGGAAGUUUGUCAUCUCUUUGUAUAUUACAUAUAGGUGGCGAGGCCCAAUGGAAUACGUUAAAUUUUAUUAAGCAAAAGGACUUGAGGAUAAAACUUCCCCAAGUAACAUGGGCAGAGCUAGGGGGCACCCCGGGGAAGUUUGUCAUCUCUUUGUAUAUUACAUAUAGGUGGCGAGGCCCAAUAUUCAUGAGUUGCCCCUCCCCUUCUCAAAACACCUAUGUACUCUAAAUGCAAUGCAAGAUAUCAAUGAGUUACAAAAAUGUAAAGUGGCUGAAAUUUAGAAACUUAAGGUUAGAAACAGCAGAAAACAGCAACUAAAGUGAAAAAAAUAGCAAGGCUUAACAGAAAAGGAAGUAGGGGAAUGAAAAUAACAGUUGAGGAACAAAAUAAGAUGAGAGUAUAGGAACAAAACUAGGAGAAAAUAGCAAAUAGGUCAUGAAUGUUAUUGCCACUGGAUACCAUACAAGGAAACAAAGUCCUACCAAUACCAAGGAUUCUAUGGACUUUUUGGUAGUGAUUUCUGCACCAAGAUGAUAUCUGAGACUUUGAGUACAAAACCACAUGAUAUCCAAGACCAAAGUUGGUAUGUGCAGUGUGUAGAUAUUGGAGAAAUCUGACCUGUUAAAGG